UGGGGAAUUUUGGGCAAUGGGCGAAAGCCUGACCCAGCAACGCCGCGUGAAGGAUGAAGUAUUUCGGUAUGUAAACUUCGUAAGAAUAGGAAGAAUAAAUGACGGUACUAUUUGUAAGGUCCGGCUAACUACGUGCCAGCAGCCGCGGUAAUACGUAGGGACCAAGCGUUGUUCGGAUUUACUGGGCGUAAAGGGCGCGUAGGCGGCAAUUCAAGUCAUCUGUGAAAUCUCCGGGCUUAACUCGGAACGGUCAGAUGAUACUGCUUUGCUAGAGUGCAGAAGGGGCAAUCGGAAUUCUUGGUGUAGCGGUGAAAUGCGUAGAUAUCAAGAGGAACACCUGAGGUGAAGACGGGUUGCUGGGCUGACACUGACGCUGAGGCGCGAAAGCCAGGGGAGCAAACGGGAUUAGAUACCCCCGUAGUCCCUGAGCGGGCUGGCAAGGCGCAU
This 447-nucleotide ribosomal RNA is filed under the name uncultured bacterium. RNAcentral's name for it is "bacterial SSU rRNA". It matches the Rfam family "Bacterial small subunit ribosomal RNA", at positions 355 to 825 of the family's 1533-position model. The record is from RNAcentral.